AAUCAAUUCCAACUCGUCUCGCUAUAAAUUUUUAUAACAAUAUUUCAUCGUUGUAUUUUUGGGUAAACUUCAAAUACCCUCUUGUGGUUUCACACUUUCUUACUUAAGUACCCUGUGAUUUAAAGUGUAUCAAGUUAGCCCCUGUGGUUUCACAUUUUUUUACUUUAGUACCCUAUAGUUUAAAGUGUAUCAAGUUAGUACUCUGCGGUUUUAUUUUUGUAUCAAGUUAGUACAAUAUAGUUUCAUUUUUCUCUUUUUUUUAUCCAUUUCGGAGUAUUUUUUUCGUUAAAUCAGUGACAAAAUUAAAACUAAAGAGUACUAAAAUGAAUAUUCGAUUAACGUAAGUAAGGUAUCUGGAGUUUUUUGUAUAUAAUUUAACGAAAUAUUAAACCACAGAGUAUUAAAGUGAGAAAAUGCGAAACCACAGGGUACUAACUUGAUACACUUUAAACCAUAGGGUAUUAAAGUGAGAAAAUGUGAAACCACGGGGUACUAACUUGAUACAACUUAAACCACAUAGUAGUAAAGUAAGAAAGUGCAAAACACAAAGGGAUAUUUGAAGUUUUCCCUUUUAAAUAAUUAUAUAUAUA
This 590-nucleotide long non-coding RNA is filed under the name Ananas comosus (pineapple). RNAcentral describes it as "long non-coding RNA (ACOM_LNC022622)". Lineage: Eukaryota; Viridiplantae; Streptophyta; Magnoliopsida; Poales; Bromeliaceae. The record is from RNAcentral.